CAAAGCAGAAGCAAAACUGACUGAUUUUUUCCUAUGAUACCCUAUCUGCACGCAUAGACGGAGGAACUAAAGAGAUCGCAGUUAUCAAAAGUUAGACAGUAGGAGGAAAAAAUGAGAAGCAAAGGGUGGGGAAAUAUUUAAACCAUUUAAUCAGCUUCUCAACUAGUCACAUCGAAAUGAAAAUAUCACUAACCGAGAAAAUGGCUGAACAUCUCAUUUAAUUCUCACAACAUCCCUGCUGGUGUUACCAUCCCUGCUUUACAGAGGGACAAACUGAAGAGAGGAGAGAUUAGGCAAUUUUUCUAAAAUGAUCUCAAAUAAAAUCAAAUGCUAGUUCCCAUCAGUUGUUAAGAAUGCUGUGCAGGGUGUAGACAGCUGGCUUUCAGUACAUUUCUUCCUUUGAUUUCAAAAGUUCUCUUGUAAUAAACAAAGUGACUGCUUGGGGCAGCCUUACAAAAGCACGUUCUAUUUCACAUUGUCAUAGGCUCGGCUUCUCCAGGAUGUGUAAUGAUGCGGGAUCGGUGAGCCGAGGAGUCGAAAGAAAGAUUUCUUAGACUCUCAAGAUCUGGCAGUAGUGCUCUUUUAUUUAGAAAAUAGUGUGGAAUAGCAUGGGGACAGGACCCAUGGGCAGUCAGAGUUUCUGCUGCCGCCGCUUCUGCUGCCCCCGCUGGCAUGGGGACAGAGCCCAUGGGCAGGCAGAGCCGCUGCUGCUGCCCCCGCUGGCAUGGGGACAGGAUCCAUGGGCAGGCAGAGCUGGUGCGUGGGGACAGGACCCACGGGCAGUCAGAGCUCCUGCUGCUGCCCCGAGUUGAGGGUUAGGGCUAAAUUUAAGGCAUAGGUAUGUGAUUCAUCUCUUUACAAGACAAAGGAAAGAACAUGAAAAAAAGUUAAAAUGGUAUCAGUGCGGGUGGGGUCUGGUCAUUGGGUGAUCCCAUGACUUUUAGACAAGAAUCAAAUCGGAUUAAGUAAAGGUUAGAAAGGUUAGACACCACCACCCUAAACCAGUUACAUGAGAUUGCCAGACAGCAAGAACUUAAGUUGGUUGCUGUCUGGCAAUCUCAUGUAACUGGUUUAGGGUGGUGGUGUCUAACCUUUCUAACCUUUACUUAAUCCGAUUUGAUUCUUGUCUAAAAGUCAUGGGAUCACCCAAUGACCAGACCCCACCCGCACUGAUACCAUUUUAACUUUUUUUCAUGUUCUUUCCUUUGUCUUGUAAAGAGAUGAAUCAUAUACCUAUGCCUUAUAAAAUUAGCCCUAACCCUCAACUCGGGGCAGCAGCAGGAGCUCUGAGUGCCCGUGGGUCCUGUCCCCACGCACCAGCUCUGCCUGCCCAUGGAUCCUGUCCCCAUGCCAGCGGGGGCAGCAGCAGUGGCUCUGCCUGCCCAUGGGCUCUGUCCCCAUGCCAGCGGGGGCAGCAGAAGCGGCAGCAGCAGAAGCUCUGACUGCCCAUGGGUCCUGUCCCCAUGCUAUUCCACACUAUUUUCUAAAUAAAAGAGCACUACUGCCAGAUCUUGAGAGUCUAAGAAAUCUUUCUUUCGACUCCUCGGCUCACCGAUCCCGCAUCAAUUACCAUUGAGGGAAGCUUGGUAAAGGGUACAUAGGAUCCCUCUUUAAAAAAAAGAGCAGAUAGUGGGAACGCUACAGAAAAGAGUCAUGGUCUAAUGCUAUUGGUUUCAGAAUAAACUCCAAAUUCCAUAUGAC
Molecule: long non-coding RNA, 1701 nt
Organism: Equus caballus (horse)
Lineage: Eukaryota; Metazoa; Chordata; Mammalia; Perissodactyla; Equidae
Source: Ensembl